RNAcentral lists this ribosomal RNA (407 nucleotides) under uncultured bacterium. RNAcentral describes it as "partial 16S ribosomal RNA". It matches the Rfam family "Bacterial small subunit ribosomal RNA", at positions 30 to 526 of the family's 1533-position model. The record is from RNAcentral.
AUUGAACGCUGGCGGCAGGCCUAACACAUGCAAGUCGAGCGGAGCGGCGGACGGGUGAGAAAUACCUAUGAACCUGCCUGGUAGUGGGGGGUAACGUCCGGAAGCGGGGGCUAAUACCGCAUCCUCUCAACUUAGCCUCGGUGGGAUUAGCUAGUGGGUGGGGUAAAUGCCUACAAAGGCGACGAUCCGUACCUGGUCUGAGAGGAUGAUCAGCAACACGGGAAUGGGGAAACGGCCCAGACUCCUACGGGAGGCAGCAGUGGGGAAUAUUGGACAAUGGGCGAAAGCCUGAUCCAGCCAGGCCGCGGGUGUGAAGAAGGUCUUCGGAUUGUAAAGCACUUUAAGUUGGGAGGCGUUACCAACAGAAUAAGCACCGGCUAACUUCGUGCCAGCAGCCGCGGUAAUAC